AGCAGCCGCGGUAAUUCCAGCUCCAAUAGCGUAUAUUAAAGUUGUUGCAGUUAAAAAGCUCGUAGUUGAAUUUCGAGACCGGUUUACUGGUCGUGCUUUUGUACGUACUGGUAUUAUUGGUUUCUCCUUUCUGACGAAUCAUAAUGCCAUUAAUUUGGUGUUUUGGGGAAUCAGGACUGUUACUUUGAAAAAAUUAGAGUGUUUAAAGCAGGCUCACGCUUGAAUACAUUAGCAUGGAAUAACGAAAUAGGACGUUUGAUUUUAUUUUGUUGGUUUCUAGGAUCGACGUAAUAAUUAAUAGGGAUAGUUGGGGGCAUUAGUAUUCAAUUGUCAGAGGUGAAAUUCUUGGAUUUAUUGAAGACUAACUACUGCGAAAGCAUUUGCCAAGGAUGUUUUCAUUAAUCAAGAACGAAAGUUAGGGGAUCGAAGACGAUCAGAUACCGUCGUAGUCUUAACCAUAAACUAUGCCGACUAGGGAUCGGAUGAUGUUAAUUUUUUAAUGACUCAUUCGGCGCCUUAC
Molecule: unclassified non-coding RNA, 520 nt
Filed under: uncultured Glomus
Lineage: Eukaryota; Fungi; Glomeromycota; Glomeromycetes; Glomerales; Glomeraceae
Description: SSU rRNA
Rfam family: Eukaryotic small subunit ribosomal RNA
Source: RNAcentral